AAGACUAUCAAACUCCGAAUGCCGUCAUCUUAUACUUGGGAGUCAGACUGUGGGUGAUAAGAUUCAUAGUCGAAAGGGCAACAGCCCAGAUCGUCAGCUAAGGGCCCUAAAUGUAAGUUAAGUGGUAAAGGAUGUGGGAUUGCACAGACAACCAGGAUGUUGGCUUAGAAGCAGCCACUCAUUCAAAGAGUGCGUAAUAGCUC
Molecule: ribosomal RNA, 203 nt
Filed under: Clostridioides difficile
Lineage: Bacteria; Bacillati; Bacillota; Clostridia; Peptostreptococcales; Peptostreptococcaceae
Description: partial 23S ribosomal RNA
Rfam family: Bacterial large subunit ribosomal RNA
Source: RNAcentral